This 468-nucleotide ribosomal RNA is filed under the name uncultured bacterium. RNAcentral describes it as "partial 16S ribosomal RNA". It matches the Rfam family "Bacterial small subunit ribosomal RNA", at positions 28 to 507 of the family's 1533-position model. The record is from RNAcentral.
GACGAACGCUGGCGGCGUGCUUAACACAUGCAAGUCGAACGGAAAGGCCCUGCUUUUGUGGGGUGCUCGCGUGGCGAACGGGUGAGUAACACGUGAGUAACCUGCCCUUGACUUUGGGAUAACUUCAGGAACCUGGGGCUAAUACCGGAUAGGAGCUCCUGCUGCAUGGUGGGGGUUGGAAAGUUUCGGCGGUUGGGGAUGGACUCGCGGCUUAUCAGCACGUUGGUGGGGUAGUGGCUUACCAAGGCUUUGACGGGUAGCCGGCCUGAGAGGGUGACGGGCCACAUUGGGACUGAGAUACCGCCGAGACUCCUACGGGAGGCAGCAGUGAGGAAUAUUGCACAAUGGGCGGAAGCCUGAUGCAGCAACGCCGCGUGCGGGAUGACGGCCUUCGGGUUGUAACCCGCUUUCGCCUGUGACGAAGCGUGAGUGGCGGUAAUGGGUAAAGAAGCACCGGCUAACUACGUG